UACGAAGGGGGCUAGCGUUGCUCGGAAUUACUGGGCGUAAAGCGCACGUAGGCGGCUUUUUAAGUCAGGGGUGAAAUCCUGGAGCUCAACUCCAGAACUGCCUUUGAUACUGAGAAGCUUGAGUCCGGGAGAGGUGAGUGGAACUGCGAGUGUAGAGGUGAAAUUCGUAGAUAUUCGCAAGAACACCAGUGGCGAAGGCGGCUCACUGGCCCGGUACUGACGCUGAGGUGCGAAAGCGUGGGGAGCAAACAGG
This 253-nucleotide ribosomal RNA is filed under the name uncultured bacterium. RNAcentral describes it as "partial 16S ribosomal RNA". It matches the Rfam family "Bacterial small subunit ribosomal RNA", at positions 524 to 776 of the family's 1533-position model. The record is from RNAcentral.